RNAcentral lists this ribosomal RNA (460 nucleotides) under uncultured bacterium. RNAcentral describes it as "partial 16S ribosomal RNA". It matches the Rfam family "Bacterial small subunit ribosomal RNA", at positions 338 to 795 of the family's 1533-position model. The record is from RNAcentral.
CCUACGGGUGGCAGCAGUGAGGAAUAUUGGUCAAUGGACGAGAGUCUGAACCAGCCAAGUAGCGUGAAGGAUGACUGCCCUAUGGGUUGUAAACUUCUUUUAUAUGGGAAUAAAACGUUCCACGUGUGGGAUUUUGUAUGUACCAGAUGAAUAAGGAUCGGCUAACUCCGUGCCAGCAGCCGCGGUAAUACGGAGGAUCCGAGCGUUAUCCGGAUUUAUUGGGUUUAAAGGGAGCGUAGGUGGAAUGUUAAGUCAGUUGUGAAAGUUUGGGGCUCAACCGUAGAAUUGCAGUUGAAACUGGCAGUCUUGAGUACAGUAGAGGUAGGCGGAAUGCGUGGUGUAGCGGUGAAAUGCUUAGAUAUCACGAAGAACUCCGAUUGCGAAGGCAGUUCACUGGACUGCAACUGACGCUGAGGCUCGAAAGUGUGGGUAUCAAACAGGAUUAGAUACCCCGGUAGUC